UUUCGGUAAAAUUUAGACCGGUUCUUGUGCGUUUUGAAACGACCCGAUAGCAGAAUAGGAUUCACCUUCCAAAAUCCUACACAGCAGUGUCGCUAACUAUUAUGUCCACUUUCGUUUGGGUUUUAAUUCUACAGCCUACUCGUGUAUACCUAUAUCGAGGGUAGACAAUAGGUGACCCGCGGACGAUAUCUAGUCCACGGAGAGGAAACAAACGGCCCGUCAAAAUUGUUUUAAUAUAAUUCUGGUAUUUUUGUUUUCGUCAUUUGUCUCCAUGUAGAUCCAGAAUAUCCGAGCGUCCGAACGUAAUCUAU
Non-coding RNA from Cinara cedri, 311 nucleotides. Lineage: Eukaryota; Metazoa; Arthropoda; Insecta; Hemiptera; Aphididae. The record is from the annotation of a GenBank genome assembly.